Molecule: signal recognition particle RNA, 268 nt
Filed under: Candidatus Zixiibacteriota bacterium
Lineage: Bacteria; Pseudomonadati; Candidatus Zixiibacteriota
Description: candidate division Zixibacteria bacterium signal recognition particle sRNA large type
Rfam family: Bacterial large signal recognition particle RNA
About the family: The signal recognition particle (SRP) is a universally conserved ribonucleoprotein involved in the co-translational targeting of proteins to membranes.
Source: RNAcentral
CUGUGCUAGAUGGGGAGUUAGCGGUGCCCUGUAACCCGGAAUCCGCUAUACCGGGGUCGAAUUCCCACCCGAGGGCUUAGCGGUCGUUUGACUUCGACGGUUAAGCAGCGUUGAGGGUCGGGUCCUGUACAACGUAAGCCUGUGAACCCCGUCAGAACCGGAAGGUAGCAGCGGUAAGCAUAAUUUCUUAUGUGCCGUGGGAGUGCUUGGCUGGAGUUGGCUGCUGAGGCCAAUCCCGAGGAAAGAGGGAUCGAAGACAGGUGCACAG